GUAGGGAAUAUUGGGCAAUGGUCGGAAGACUGACCCAGCCAUGCCGCGUGCAGGAAGACGGCCCUCUGGGUUGUAAACUGCUUUUAUCUGGGAAGAAAAAGGCCAUGCGUGGCAAAUUGCCGGUACCAGAUGAAUAAGCACCGGCUAACUCCGUGCCAGCAGCCGCGGUAAUACGGAGGGUGCGAGCGUUGUCCGGAUUUAUUGGGUUUAAAUGGUGCGUAGGCGGCUGAUUAAGUCAGCGGUGAAAGACUUCGGCUUAACCGGAGCAGUGCCGUUGAUACUGGUUGGCUUGAGUGUCGGAGGGGUACAUGGAAUUGAUGGUGUAGCGGUGAAAUGCAUAGAUACCAUCAGGAACACCGAUAGCGAAGGCAUUGUACUGGCCGACAACUGACGCUGAUGCACGAAAGUGUGGGGAUCGAACAGGAUUAGAAACCCGGGUAGUCC
RNAcentral lists this ribosomal RNA (444 nucleotides) under uncultured bacterium. Its description in RNAcentral is "partial 16S ribosomal RNA". It matches the Rfam family "Bacterial small subunit ribosomal RNA", at positions 354 to 796 of the family's 1533-position model. The record is from RNAcentral.